Molecule: ribosomal RNA, 765 nt
Filed under: Parafomoria tingitella
Lineage: Eukaryota; Metazoa; Arthropoda; Insecta; Lepidoptera; Nepticulidae
Description: eukaryotic LSU rRNA
Rfam family: Eukaryotic large subunit ribosomal RNA
Source: RNAcentral
CGUUCAGGGGUAAACCUUCGGAACUCGAAUGAACGAACGGGGAGAUUCAUCGUCAUCCGGCGGGCGGCCAUGCUGUCGCGUGAUGUGUAGCCCUCCGGCGAUCUCGGUCGUCCGGUGCGAGUUACGCACAUGCGCGGCGUGUGCCUCACGUCCGUCGGCGGCGUGCACUUCUCCCUUAGUACUGCAUCGCGACCCGCUCGAUGUCGGCCUAAGCGCCGUCCGGGAGCCCGCGGCGUUUAAUCGCGCCGCGGACCGUGACGGAUGCCGGCCGGCUGUCGGGCGGUAUUUGACACGAAACACGCACGCGUUAGUCGCGUCCAGCCCGACGCAAGGGCCCCCUCGCGGGGUCCUGUCGAUCGCAGCCGUGCCGUCUUGGACGUGCGUGCAUCUAGUCUGCGAUGUUUAUGUUUCGGGCACUCGCAGGACCCGUCUUGAAACACGGACCAAGGAGUCUAGCAUGUGUGCGAGUCACUAGGUGUUUAACUAAACCGAAAGGCGCAACGAAAGUGAAGGCGCGCGCUUGCCGCGAGCUCGGGGAGGAUGGCGGUGCAGCUCACAAGGUCGCCGCCCGCACUCCCGAGGCGUCCCGUUCGCAAUUUGUCGAUGUGGGCGCGCUCAGAGUACAAAUGCUGGGACCCGAAAGAUGGUGAACUAUGCCUGGUCAGGUCGAAGUCAGGGGAAACCCUGAUGGAGGACCGUAGCGAUUCUGACGUGCAAAUCGAUCGUCGGAACUGGGUAUAGGGGCGAAAGACUAAUCGAACCAUC